UGGGGAAUAUUGGACAAUGGGCGCAAGCCUGAUCCAGCCAUGCCGCGUGAGUGAUGAAGGCCCUAGGGUUGUAAAGCCCUUUCACCGGUGAAGAUAAUGACGGUAACCGGAGAAGAAGCCCCGGCUAACUUCGUGCCAGCAGCCGCGGUAAUACGAAGGGGGCUAGCGUUGUUCGGAUUUACUGGGCGUAAAGCGCACGUAGGCGGACUAUUAAGUCAGGGGUGAAAUCCCGGGGCUCAACCCCGGAACUGCCUUUGAUACUGGUAGUCUUGAGUUCGAGAGAGGUGAGUGGAAUUCCGAGUGUAGAGGUGAAAUUCGUAGAUAUUCGGAGGAACACCAGUGGUGAAGGCGGCUCUCUGGCUCGAUACUGACGCUGAGGUGCGAAAGCGUGGGGAGCAAACAGG
RNAcentral lists this ribosomal RNA (404 nucleotides) under Verrucomicrobiota bacterium. RNAcentral describes it as "Verrucomicrobia bacterium partial 16S ribosomal RNA". It matches the Rfam family "Bacterial small subunit ribosomal RNA", at positions 355 to 776 of the family's 1533-position model. Lineage: Bacteria; Pseudomonadati; Verrucomicrobiota. The record is from RNAcentral.